ACGCUGGCGGCGUGCUUAACACAUGCAAGUCGAACGGAAAGGCCCUGCUUUUGUGGGGUGCUCGAGUGGCGAACGGGUGAGUAACACGUGAGUAACCUGCCCUUGACUUUGGGAUAACUUCAGGAAACUGGGGCUAAUACCGGAUAGGAGCUCCUGCUGCAUGGUGGGGGUUGGAAAGUUUCGGCGGUUGGGGAUGGACUCGCGGCUUAUCAGCUUGUUGGUGGGGUAGUGGCUUACCAAGGCUUUGACGGGUAGCCGGCCUGAGAGGGUGACCGGCCACAUUGGGACUGAGAUACGGCCCAGACUCCUACGGGAGGCAGCAGUGGGGAAUAUUGCACAAUGGGCGGAAGCCUGAUGCAGCAACGCCGCGUGCGGGAUGACGGCCUUCGGGUUGUAAACCGCUUUCGCCUGUGACGAAGCGUGAGUGACGGUAAUGGGUAAAGAAGCACCGGCUAACUACGUGCCAGCAGCCGCGGUGAUACGUAGGGUGCGAGCGUUGUCCGGAUUUAUUGGGCGUAAAGGGCUCGUAGGUGGUUGAUCGCGUCGGAAGUGUAAUCUUGGGGCUUAACCCUGAGCGUGCUUUCGAUACGGGUUGACUUGAGGAAGGUAGGGGAGAAUGGAAUUCCUGGUGGAGCGGUGGAAUGCGCAGAUAUCAGGAGGAACACCAGUGGCGAAGGCGGUUCUCUGGGCCUUUCCUGACGCUGAGGAGCGAAAGCGUGGGGAGCGAACAGGCUUAGAUACCCUGGUAGUCCACGCUGUAAACGGUGGGUACUAGGUGUGGGGUCCAUUCCACGGGUUCCGCGCCGUAACUAACGCUUUAAGUACCCCGCCUGGGGAGUACGGCCGCAAGGCUAAAACUCAAAGGAAUUGACGGGGCCCCGCACAAGCGGCGGAGCAUGCGGAUUAAUUC
RNAcentral lists this ribosomal RNA (910 nucleotides) under uncultured bacterium. RNAcentral describes it as "bacterial SSU rRNA". It matches the Rfam family "Bacterial small subunit ribosomal RNA", at positions 33 to 952 of the family's 1533-position model. The record is from RNAcentral.